Molecule: transfer RNA, 90 nt
Filed under: Candidatus Omnitrophota bacterium
Lineage: Bacteria; Pseudomonadati; Candidatus Omnitrophota
Description: tRNA-Ser
Rfam family: tRNA
About the family: Transfer RNA (tRNA) molecules are approximately 80 nucleotides in length. Their secondary structure includes four short double-helical elements and three loops (D, anti-codon, and T loops). Further hydrogen bonds mediate the characteristic L-shaped molecular structure. tRNAs have two regions of fundamental functional importance: the anti-codon, which is responsible for specific mRNA codon recognition, and the 3' end, to which the tRNAs corresponding amino acid is attached (by aminoacyl-tRNA synthetases). tRNAs cope with the degeneracy of the genetic code in two manners: having more than one tRNA (with a specific anti-codon) for a particular amino acid; and 'wobble' base-pairing, i.e. permitting non-standard base-pairing at the 3rd anti-codon position.
Source: RNAcentral
GGUGGGAUGGCCGAGUGGUCGAAGGCACCUGCCUUGAAAGCAGGCGAGGGGGCAACUCCUCCGUGGGUUCGAAUCCCACUCCCACCGCCA